AUUGAACGCUGGCGGCAGGCCUAACACAUGCAAGUCGAACGGUAACAGGGAUCAGCUUGCUGAUUCGCUGACGAGUGGCGGACGGGUGAGUCAUGUCUGGGAAACUGCCUGAUGGAGGGGGAUAACUACUGGAAACGGUAGCUAAUACCGCAUAACGUCGCAAGACCAAAGAGGGGGACCUUCGGGCCUCUUGCCAUCGGAUGUGCCCAGAUGGGAUUAGCUAGUAGGGGGGGUAACGGCUCACCUAGGCGACGAUCCCUAGCUGGUCUGAGAGGAUGACCAGCCACACUGGAACUGAGACACGGUCCAGACUCCUACGGGAGGCAGCAGUGGGGAAUAUUGCACAAUGGGCGCAAGCCUGAUGCAGCCAUGCCGCGUGUAUGAAGAAGGCCUUCGGGUUGUAAAGUACUUUCAGCGGGGAGGAAGGGAGUAAAGUUAAUACCUUGGCUCAUUGACGUUACCCGCAGAAGAAGCACCGGCUAACUCCGUG
RNAcentral lists this ribosomal RNA (490 nucleotides) under uncultured bacterium. Its description in RNAcentral is "partial 16S ribosomal RNA". It matches the Rfam family "Bacterial small subunit ribosomal RNA", at positions 30 to 507 of the family's 1533-position model. The record is from RNAcentral.